RNAcentral lists this ribosomal RNA (253 nucleotides) under uncultured bacterium. RNAcentral describes it as "partial 16S ribosomal RNA". It matches the Rfam family "Bacterial small subunit ribosomal RNA", at positions 524 to 776 of the family's 1533-position model. The record is from RNAcentral.
UACGUAGGGUGCAAGCGUUGUCCGGAAUUAUUGGGCGUAAAGAGCUCGUAGGCGGCCUGUUGCGUCGGCUGUGAAAACCCGGGGCUCAACUCCGGGCCUGCAGUCGAUACGGGCAGGCUAGAGUCCGGCAGGGGAGACUGGAAUUCCUGGUGUAGCGGUGAAAUGCGCAGAUAUCAGGAGGAACACCGGUGGCGAAGGCGGGUCUCUGGGCCGGAACUGACGCUAAGGAGCGAAAGCGUGGGGAGCGAACAGG